GUUGUUUUGGUCUUGGGUGUAAUAAAAGUUGCUGCGGAGUGGAGGCCGUCGUGACAAAAGCUAUUCUGUCUGUUGUGGCAGUGAGAAGCCAUCUGAAGCAAUGCGAUCUGAUCGUUUGUGUUGGCCACCCUGACAAGCUGGCACUUCUGGAGAAACCUUUGGAGCCAGCGAGGCAGCAGCAGCACUCAGCCCUGACCCCAAACUGCACUAUUUGAGAAAAAGACGGAAGAAGAAAGACGCAGCCGAUUGCUGACCCCCUUCAAGAUGUCUGCAGUUUGACGGAUUCCCAGUUUUCCUUUAGACCAGUUUAGUUCCAGAGUCUGGAUUUCCAUUUUCCCAGUUCUGUAUAAAACAUAUUAAGUAUAUGUUAAUAAAAACAAGUUCCUGGGUUCUAA
Molecule: non-coding RNA, 395 nt
Organism: Oryzias latipes (Japanese medaka)
Lineage: Eukaryota; Metazoa; Chordata; Actinopteri; Beloniformes; Adrianichthyidae
Source: RefSeq, a predicted model, not a curated record